GGAAAAAAAAAGCACACACUAUUUGCAUUUUUCUUCUUCAUUUUUGCUCAAACCACCAUGAGCAAAAAUAUGUAUGUACACUGUAUUUGCAAGGAAUUCAAUUCCAUAUUUUAGUUAUCCAACCUCCACGCACUACGACUGCCUCCUGUCCUUUUUCACUGCCCUAUCCGCCGAGGGGCGUCUCUCGCUUCAUACUUGCUUUAAAAGGUAUCUCCAUUUCCAUUGGACUCCGACAUCGACUUUGGGGACGGGAACAGGGACGAAGAGGAUCGCGAUAUCAUCGGACUUCGACAUACACUCUGGGGAUGAGGACGAAGACGACGAAGAAGAAGGAUCCGUUGCGGAAGCCGGCGUGGCGAAAGAGGACCUGAAGCUCGAGAUCAAUGACCACAAGGCCUAGGUCGAUUUCUUAACCCUUUCCUUUCCAUUAACGGUUCUUUGUAAUGGGAAAAUUAUUGGUGAACCCAUUUUCCAGUGGCUGCUCCUCUCUAAAUGGGAAUUAUCGUUUCUUGGUUUCAGCAAAUGGGCGUAAGUGACCUUCUGGCUUUUGACCUCUGUCUUUACAGAAGGUGAGGCUCAGGGGCACCCCAUUAACAGUGGCAACAGCAAAGAAAGAGAGAGCAACCAUCGCUUUGUUCCUAAACCUGAUGAAGCCACCGGGCCAUUCCCAGAAGCUGUGCUUCUUAGAGAGGUAUUUUUCUUCUUCUAAUACCUUGACCACUACUUUGUUGGAGGUAUUUACCAUUUUAUCUUCAGAAGUACUUCAAUUACAGGUCUGACUGUGAAAUUUUGAGAGAGGGUGCAAUAUAUAUUUCAAAAUUAGUUCAAUUUCAAGCCACAAAGAUUUACUAUAGAAAUCAUUUUGCAUACUUUGGUGGCAAAAUCUUUUUGUUUUAGCUAUAGUAGUUUUAGUUCAUUGAGCCAAGACGCGGAUAAACAUCAUAAACUGUAAAGUAGAAGCAUGGAGGAGUACUUUGGAAUUUAUAGGUUUUUUGGUUAAGUAGAACUAAAUAGAUUAAUUGAAAUGUCCAUUUCGUUAAGAAGGAAUAAGGAUAAUAGCAACUUGAUUAAUUUACAUACCAACCUCACAUAAUGAAAUGGAGCAAUGCUACAAGAGUUCUAUAUUUUGUGAAAUAUGUACUCCUUUAAAAGGCAAUUGCCAACGCUUGUUAGAUCAACUAUACUUGUUCAUAAUAAAUUUUGUCCAUGAUAAGGGCAGUUGUUCUUAAGGCGAAUACAAAUUUUAAGAUGGAUGUAUGGCCAUAGAAGAAUGGAUAAAAUCAGAAAUGAAUACCCACGACAAGUCGAGGUGACUCCAUUGAAGAUAAAAAAGAAAAAAUGACGACUUGAAUUGUUAGAUAUGUAUCGUGUAAAUUCGGAGAAGUUCUUUUUCACAAGAAUCAAUGAGGUCCCAAAAGAAAACUUGUUAGAAGAGGGGGAUGUACAUCAAAAUUAAUAUUUUAUGAUAAUGUGAUUAAAAUAUAUAGUUUUAUUGGACCAUUCAAUAAUAAAGGAAGACUCGUGUGGUCAACCCCAAGUUACUAGGACUUUUUCAGAACUUAUCCAAAAAGAGGUGUUUCUGGUAUGCAUUUUACUGUUGAAUAUGAGAAUUAUAGGAACAGAAGAAGCUCUAACAUUUUGGAAUUAUUUCAGCCCCGAAUCUUUGACUCCAAUGUUCAAAAGAUUUUACGUGAAUGUAGAUUUGGGUUUUUAUUUCCGAGAAAAUACAGGUAUGUCGGAAACAUUCACACCUAGGUGACUAAACCGCUGCACGAAGUUUUUGCAACUACUGGUCUUGUUCAAAGCUUUCAGCUUGUUAGAAAGGAAAAGGUAUAGUCUCUGUAGUCCUUUUUUUUUGCCAUAGAGGCUAAUAUUAAUGGGAUGCGAUAAUUAUGUUAGUUUUGGGCUGUGAAAAUUUUGAUUGUCUCCUUAUAUACUAGCAAUUAUUGUUCUUGGAAAAUGGAAAACUUGGAAGUUAUUUUGCUGUACUUGAUUUGGUCAUUGAGGAUCUGAUUUUUAUACCUUAAAGGAGUGAUUCUUAUAUUUCAAGUGAUCCUAUUCUAUGGUUGAUUAAUUUCUCAUUCCUAUUGGAUUAAAAGAAUGAAGUUGUUAUAGUCUCUUAAUGUUUAAUGGAAUAUGUUGCAUUUUGUUCUAUAUAGAUAUAAAGUGUCUCUCUCUUUUUUUUUUUUUUUUUUUUUAAGUCAUAUGAAAGGUUCAUGUAGGAGAACAAAAUAUGGGCUCGUGGAAGGAUGAAUCAAGCAAGAUUUGCCAUAAUUGGUCAUGUUGUUUAAAUGGUCAGUCGAGACUGAAGUUAUGGCUCAUGAUUAUCAUGCUUUAGAUUGUUUGUACCCUGAUGUACAUGUAUCUCCUUUCUUACCAGCUCUGAGGAACUUCUAUCAUAAUGCACUAAAUUCAACGUGAGUGAACUCAACUUGUAAACCAUCGUAGAUGGUUUGGGUGUUGUUUUAUACCAAUAUUCAUUUAAUGGUGAACAACUUGUUUCCCUCUAUUCAUCAACACCAUCAAUAUUAUUGCCUAUGUUAUGCUGUAUUUUCUUUUAAAAGCUAUAGCAGUCUUAUUCCUUUUAUGAUCCUAUCGUUCAAUGUAAAUCAGCUGCUCUUUUGUUUAGAGCCUGUGUGACAACCAUUAUUGUAGAAAAAAGAUUUUUGAAUAGUGAUUUUUAGGAGAAUGUGUGGUCAAAAAGUAGGGAAAAAUUUUUAUCAUAAAAGGAAAAUAUUUUAUUGUGUGAAUGUGUAGUUGAAAAUGGUUAUGUAGCAAACCAUAAAAUAAAUUAAUGUGUGUCAAAUGGGCUCUUAAUAUUAUUUAUCUGCUAUCUAUUGAGCAACCUUCUAUAAUAGUAAAAGUUUUCGGUGUAAGGUAUUAUAUGCAUUAGAUGAAUUGCGUGCUUAUAAACAUAAAAUUUUCAUCAAAAUGUUCAAUGUCAUUUUAACUACGCCUAAUUUUUUUUGGAAUACUUGCUACUUCAAUCCUCAGUGAUGAUCAUUCUCAUUUUUAGUGAUUAAUAUCUAAAUUGUAAUUAUAGAUACUUCAAUAUUUAUAAAUAUUUGUCAUUUUCUCAUAUUAAAAUGUCUUCUAUCUCAAUCUUGUUCAAAAAUGGUUGUAGUCAUUAAUCAGACUCCUACUAAACUAGCUAUAUCCUCCCGAGCCAAGUGGAGUAUGAUUGAAGUAGUCAGAUCCUUUUUCUAUUCUUUUCCCUCGUGCGGCUGGACCAUCCUGUAUAUUACAGAGAUCAACAAAGGGAACCAGUUUAAUAGUAAGUUCAUUUUUGUUACUUUUCCAUAUCUCCUGAGUAAUCUCUAUGCUACUGAAUUUUUGAAAAUUUCCCUACAGUGUGAACCUUACAAGAUUUAAUUUUAUUUGUACAAGUUCAUUCUUGUUUUUCAUUUCUCCUGAGUAAUCUCUAUGCCGCUGAUUUUUUGAAAAUUUUUGUACAGUGUAAACCUUACUGGAUUUAAGCUUAGUUCAACAAUGAAAUGUUCAAUUUUAUAAGUUUCAUUUGUUUCCAAAAUGUGUAAUGAGAGAUCUUUGUUCUUUGUGGUUUCCAUUUAUUUUGCCUUAGGUUCUCAUGAGUUCUCGCUAUGCCCCUGUUUGGGCUCCAUUAAAAUUAAAUUUUGGGGAAAAUUGUGUUUUGAAAUAGUAUUUUUUGGAGAAUGUGUGGUUUAAUAUUAAGGAAAAGUUUUGGGUUUGCGUAUAAUAUUAGUUUAUUGGAAAAUGUAUGGUCAAAAAUAAGAAAGAAAAAAUGUAUUUUUACAAAAAUGGAGCCUAAAUAUGGCUAUGUUUAGAACAUUUUUACCAUAUUUUAAUUUCCUUCUUUGUUAUGUGUUCUUAUUUUGAAACGUAAGCAGACCUUUCACAGAUUUUCAGUCAACUAUUAUGCUUGUGUUUUUGCAACUCCUCAUUCAUCAUGUGUUUUCUUAUGUUUUCCGCUGAAGCUAUUUUUAUAUUUUAUGGAUAUGUUCUUUCCCUUCUUAUUACAAGUUUCAUAAUCAUUCUAUACUGGUUGGUGGAGUAGCACUAGCAUGUCCUUUGUCGUUCGAAUUUUCCCUUCUCUAUUACCUUUUCUUUUGCUUCUUUCCUCUUUCAUCAUUUUUAUCUUUGGUUCUAUGACAGCAACAUUCUCAGCCAAACAGGUUUCAGCAUGAUCAGAACGUAUAGCAUAUAGCACGCAGGGCAUUAGAUGAGAAGGUUAAAGAGAUGAAAGACCAGGUAGUGAGGGCCAAAGCAUACUUGAAUUUUUUACCACCAAACAGCAGCUUUCAUUUUGUAAAAGGUUUGAAGCUAAGAAUUAAAAGAGGGUGAACGAGCUAUGGAUCAAAUCACCAAAUCUUAUUCUCUGUCUAGGAGGUAGAACCCUAUUUAUUUCUCUGUCUAUUAUCCUUUUUCUUCUGAUAAAUCCUCCUAAUAUUCUUCAUUUUCCUUAUUUUAAUUGAAAGAGAACUUUGAAUAGAGCCCUUUAACUAAUGAAUGGUGAUUAAUAUUUUUUAAAGUGGGCAUCAAUAGCAGUUCUAGAUUGCGUUUAACAAUGCAAUUCUUUUUUUUCCCCCAAUUUCAAAAGCGAUUUUUUCUGCAGGCAGUUAAGUUUCUAAAUAUGAUUAGAUUGCAUGGGAAGGUUAUACGAUGAAUAAGGUAUGUAAUUACAUGUCAUUUUGUACUUCAGUUUGUCACCAUUUUGUAUGUUUUUGCAUAUCCUAGUAUCUUUAUUGUUAUUGUAAGAAUCACUGCAACAUUGUAACUAAAAUAUGAUUAAUUUGUUUAAUCAACUUGUUUUGCUUUUCAAGCAUCUAAAGAUGAGAAGUGUUGAUAUGGGAGCUAACCUGUACAUCGGAAACGUUCACCCUGUAAGAAAUUUUGGGAUGCUUGAAUUUACUUUAGCACUCCUUGUUUUCUUUUCAUUACGUAGUUAGUUUAGAUAUUAUAUAAAACAGUAACACAGCACACACACUUCUCUUGCAUAAUUGAUUUACCAGCAAAUUGAAGCCAACAUUUGAACUUAAGAGUUUAUUUGAUUUUGAUAGUUAAUUGACAACAUUUGUGUAUUUUGUAGGUUGAGUUACUCAUGUACAAUUAAAAAUUGCCAAUUGAAGCCACUUCAUAAUAUUUGGAAGGUAAGUAUAUGGUAUCUUCAAUUCCUAGAGUUUAUAAUGUUCAUUUUCCGAUAUUGAACCUAAAGCUGAUAGUUUAUAUGGUAAAAAAAACUUCACAGAGUGCUAGAUUCUUUUUGCCUGUAAUGGCCUUUGUGUAUAUGCACGUGCCAGAUGUAUUGUGAUUAGUUAUUUGUGUGCAUAUAAUUUUAUGUUUCAACAAUGAAUGCAUAUCUGCAUCUGCCAAAAAAAUCAUAGGGUAAAUGAGUUAGUAUGCAAUUGAAGUUUUGGUGGUGGUUUGCUGGUUGCAGAUAUGGUGAUGGUGAGCCUACUGACAAUGCAGCAAGGUUCUACAAAUGGUUUAGAGGAAAAGGAUAGAGGAGAUUGGCUUAAGAAUCUUCAGUAUAAAGUUUUCAGCCUCGAAAACUGGCAAUAUGANC
This 5542-nucleotide long non-coding RNA is filed under the name Olea europaea subsp. europaea. Lineage: Eukaryota; Viridiplantae; Streptophyta; Magnoliopsida; Lamiales; Oleaceae. The record is from RNAcentral.